UACGGAGGGGACUAGCGUUGUUCGGAAUUACUGGGCGUAAAGCGCGCGUAGGCGGAUUUGCAAGUCGGGGGUGAAAUCCCGAGGCUCAACCUCGGAACUGCCCUCGAUACUGCAAAUCUCGAGUCCGGAAGAGGUGAGUGGAAUUCCUAGUGUAGAGGUGAAAUUCGUAGAUAUUAGGAAGAACACCGGUGGCGAAGGCGGCCCACUGGAUCGGUACUGACGCUGAGGUGCGAAAGCGUGGGGAGCAAACAGG
RNAcentral lists this ribosomal RNA (253 nucleotides) under uncultured bacterium. Its description in RNAcentral is "partial 16S ribosomal RNA". It matches the Rfam family "Bacterial small subunit ribosomal RNA", at positions 524 to 776 of the family's 1533-position model. The record is from RNAcentral.